UACAGGGGGGGCAAGCGUUGUUCGGAAUUACUGGGCGUAAAGGGCCAGUAGGCGGCCAACUAAGUCAGACGUGAAAUCCCUCGGCUUAACCGGGGAACUGCGUCUGAUACUGGAUGGCUUGAAUCCGGGAGAGGGAUGCGGAAUUCCAGGUGUAGCGGUGAAAUGCGUAGAUAUCUGGAGGAACACCGGUGGCGAAGGCGGCAUCCUGGACCGGCAUUGACGCUGAGGAGCGAAAGCCAGGGGAGCAAACGGG
This 253-nucleotide ribosomal RNA is filed under the name uncultured bacterium. RNAcentral describes it as "partial 16S ribosomal RNA". It matches the Rfam family "Bacterial small subunit ribosomal RNA", at positions 524 to 776 of the family's 1533-position model. The record is from RNAcentral.